RNAcentral lists this ribosomal RNA (476 nucleotides) under uncultured bacterium. RNAcentral describes it as "bacterial SSU rRNA". It matches the Rfam family "Bacterial small subunit ribosomal RNA", at positions 29 to 524 of the family's 1533-position model. The record is from RNAcentral.
AACGAACGCUGGCGGCAUGCCUAACACAUGCAAGUCGAACGAGACCUUCGGGUCUAGUGGCGCACGGGUGCGUAACGCGUGGGAAUCUGCCCUUAGGUACGGAAUAACUCAGGGAAACUUGAGCUAAUACCGUAUAAUGACUCCGGUCCAAAGAUUUAUCGCCUAAGGAUGAGCCCCGCGUCGGAUUAGCUAGUUGGUGAGGUAAAAGCUCACCAAGGCGACGACCCGUAGCUGGUCUGAGAGGAUGAUCAGCCACACUGGGACUGAGACACGGCCCAGACUCCUACGGGAGGCAGCAGUGGGGAAUUUUGGACAAUGGGCGCAAGCCUGAUCCAGCCAUUCCGCGUGCAGGAUGAAGGCCCUCGGGUUGUAAACUGCUUUUGUACGGAACGAAAAGCGCUGAGUUAAUACCCCGGCGUCAUGACGGUACCGUAAGAAUAAGCACCGGCUAACUACGUGCCAGCCGCCGCAGUAAU